GGAUGCGAUCAUAGCAGCACUAAAGCACCGGAUCCCAACAGAACUCUGAAGUUAAGCAUGCUUGGGCGAGAGUAGUACUAGGAUGGGUGACCUCCUGGGAAGUUCUCGUGUUGCAUUCC
This 119-nucleotide ribosomal RNA is filed under the name Triticum aestivum (bread wheat). Lineage: Eukaryota; Viridiplantae; Streptophyta; Magnoliopsida; Poales; Poaceae. The record is from RNAcentral.